GGUACUCAUUUCCACUAUACUAUAACCUGGUUUUGCUAUGGAAUUGUAUCAUCAUUUCAGAAAGAAUUUAUGCCGACAACUCAUGCGCUUAAUUGAAAAUAUGCUCAUAGACCUCCUCGUACUUUUUGAGUCACAAAACAUCAGCAGGCUCUCUCAUACAGAAGGAGGAGAAAACAGAGUGAAGGAUCUAAAACCUGAAAAGAGGCCAAAUGAUUCCUCAAAACCACGCAAGUACGAAGUAGCAGAGCGGAUCUCAAAUCCAGAGCACUGCGUGUUUUGAAAUAUACAAAUAGUGGGAAACGAAAUCUUUGUUCUGGAUGCAGUUAUAAUUUGGAAAGCGAGGAAAUAAAUUAUAACAAGGGGAAAAAACAGAAUACUACUAAAGUCAUGCCGUGUGACUUCUGAAGCUAGCUCCUAAGAAGUCCUUGCAGCUUCUGCCUGCGACUCUUAGAACACUUGCUUUGAAGGAUGCCAGAUGCUGUCUUAAAAGUCUGAGCACUCUGAAACCAUCAUGCUGUGAGGAAGCCCAAGCUAACCACAUGGGCAAAAAAGAUGCCCUCUGACUGCCACCAUUUGAGACACUCUAAUUAAGAACUGCCUCAUUGAGCCCAUGAGGCCCUGUGAAUGAUAAUAAUAAAUUGUUUUUAACCACUAUGUUUUUGGAUUUGUUAUAAGUUUAUAGAUAACAAGAAAAAGUUAUAUUAGCAUGGUAAUAAAAUUAUGGAUAUGUGUAA
Molecule: long non-coding RNA, 734 nt
Filed under: Homo sapiens (human)
Lineage: Eukaryota; Metazoa; Chordata; Mammalia; Primates; Hominidae
Description: long intergenic non-protein coding RNA 964
Source: RNAcentral